This 396-nucleotide ribosomal RNA is filed under the name uncultured Tintinnidium. RNAcentral describes it as "partial small subunit ribosomal RNA". It matches the Rfam family "Eukaryotic small subunit ribosomal RNA", at positions 30 to 432 of the family's 1831-position model. Lineage: Eukaryota; Ciliophora; Spirotrichea; Tintinnida; Tintinnidae. The record is from RNAcentral.
GCUUGUCUCAAAGAUUAAGCCAUGCAUGUCUAAGUAUAAAUGUUAUACAGUGAAACUGCGAAUGGCUCAUUAAAACAGUUAUAGUUUAUUUGAUAAUCGAAUCUACAUGGAUAACCGUGGUAAUUCUAGAGCUAAUACAUGCUGUUAAGCCUGACUUACGAAGGGCUGUAUUUAUUAGAUAACAGACCAAUAUUCCCUCGUGUCUAUUGUGGUGAAUCAUAGUAACUGAUCGGAUCGCAUGGGCGUGCCCGCGACAAACCAUUCAAGUUUCUGCCCCAUCAGCUUUCGAUGGUAGUGUAUUGGACUACCAUGGCUUUUACGGGUAACGGAGGAUUAGGGUUCGAUUCCGGAGAGGGAGCCUGAGAAACGGCUACCACAUCUAAGGAAGGCAGCAGG